RNAcentral lists this non-coding RNA (29 nucleotides) under Rattus norvegicus (Norway rat). The record is from RNAcentral. Lineage: Eukaryota; Metazoa; Chordata; Mammalia; Rodentia; Muridae.
UCCUCAACACAGCACCCGCCACAAAGAAC